RNAcentral lists this ribosomal RNA (303 nucleotides) under uncultured bacterium. Its description in RNAcentral is "partial 16S ribosomal RNA". It matches the Rfam family "Bacterial small subunit ribosomal RNA", at positions 507 to 807 of the family's 1533-position model. The record is from RNAcentral.
AGCAGCCGCCACGGUAAUACGAAGGGGGCUAGCGUUGUUCGGAAUUACUGGGCGUAAAGCGCACGUAGGCGGAUAUUUAAGUCAGGGGUGAAAUCCCAGAGCUCAACUCUGGAACUGCCUUUGAUACUGGGUAUCUUGAGUAUGGAAGAGGUGAGUGGAAUUCCGAGUGUAGAGGUGAAAUUCGUAGAUAUUCGGAGGAACACCAGUGGCGAAGGCGGCUCACUGGUCCAUUACUGACGCUGAGGUGCGAAAGCGUGGGGAGCAAACAGGAUUAGAUACCCCUGUAGUCCCUGUCUCUUAUAC